CUGAAGCCACAUACCAUCAACCCACGAAAAAUCUCGUUAAAUAAACAACACCAAAUUUCCUUAUUGCUAAUAGGAAGGGCGGGAUGAAAACAAUCAACCUCAAAAAUUUCUCCCUCUCUUUAAUUACCUGGAUGACCAGUCAUUAUAGAACGAAUUUAUUUUCUCCACUUCUUUCUAUAUCUUAAGGUUCAUUUCUCCUCCUACUAACUACUCCAUCCACCCACCCACCUUUAGCACUUCCCAAUCAUCUACGUCACAAAGCAUUAGUACUCAUCAUCGAAUUUCACAAUUUCUGAUUUUCGUUGCUGCAUUCCAGCACACUACACUGCGCCAUUUAGCUGUAUAAGCCAUGUUAUGUUGAUUCUGAGUUAACACAGGUAAGAAGACACAUAAAGCCCACUUUAAACUUGAACUUGUAUUCGUGUGCUCUAAAACGUACAACACUAUACCAAAGCAGCACGAGAAAACAAGUUCAAGUUUAAAGAGACAUAAUAACACCUACAGCUACACAAUGGCGAUCAAUCAUACACAAUUGCUAGACAUCAAAUCAUAGGCAAUUGGGGUCGAUCUUAUGUAAUUGCUGUGGGUAUGCAAUUGAGGUCGGUGAUGAAAGCAGCGGUCAUGCUCGCCUCUCAAUCCUUUACGAAUGUAUUAAGGGAGUGCCAUGCCAUGCCAUGCCAUUUUCUCAGUCACGUAAACCUCGAUACGAUACAAGCUCUAACCUUCCCAUCCCGUAUUUACGUUUUUGCAGUAUUAUAGGAAAGAUGAAUAGGGUGGAAUGAGUCCGCUCUAGCAAUCGUUUGGUAAGCCGGCUUCGUUGAAUUGCAGUAUGUCAUUUGUUUAGCAGGCUGAAACAGCAUUGCCCUGUAGUUUUCAUUGCAAGCCCCUCGUUUUUUGAAGAUUAGGUUUAUCGUGUAUGCAUUUUUAAUUAAGCGGAUCACUCAGGUGGGCGUAUGAAAUAGGGAUUUGCCAUAGUUGUCCAUUCAACUAAAGAUUAGAUUGUUAAAAGGCUUAUGAUUCGCGGAACUAAACAUAGCGAAUACUUCAUAUGCUGGCAAAACGUUGUUUACAUGGGAAAUACAUGGCGCUUCCAUCAUGGCUCGUUGAUUUUUGUAAAUAUAUAAAUAGUGGCGGGCAGCAGUCAAGGUGAA
This is a non-coding RNA of Schizosaccharomyces pombe (fission yeast), 1151 nucleotides long. NCBI's taxonomy places the organism in Eukaryota, Fungi, Ascomycota, Schizosaccharomycetes, Schizosaccharomycetales, Schizosaccharomycetaceae. The record is from the annotation of a GenBank genome assembly.